GCAGGCAGGCAGGCGGUCACCAUGUUGAAACUAAUAUUUGAAUUCUCGAGAUGUGACUGGUUAUCUAACUGGAUUCCGGAAGAUCGCACCCGGGGAUCAUUGGCGAAAAAGUCGAAUAGAAAUUGCUGUUGUAGGAGGGACAUUCUUUAUUACUGGUUGUUUCGUCUUGAUCGAAACUUUUUAGCAAGCGAAUGGCGCAGGCGAACUUAUUAAAAGGAUCGUCGUUCUAAUAGAUUUUGGCGUUGGCCCAGCCAGACCACUAACUUUCCUCAUUUGUUCCCAUUCCAAGAUAAAAAAGAGAGGGCUAUAAACCAAUGCCAAAGUAUAUAUCCGUGAGACCGUGACAGUACACUUAUUCUAUUACCGCCACGCGACGUUGACACGGCUAAAUCUCGAGGAAAAUUUAUGAAGUUGGCCCGAAAAACUGAUUGGAAUGGGGGGCGACUUUCUUUUCUGCAGCGAACAAAAAAGGGGGAAAUCAAUACAAAAGAAUACCCCAUCUUUUUAUUACUCGCGCAAAGCUUUUGUUUCACGUUCAAAAAAAUCUCAUAUUCCUCUGUUUUUCAAUUAUCUUGCGUCACACAAAUAAAAGGCCCAGCCGUGACGAAAUUAUUCCAAACAUUGGCAACGUCAAACGCCAUUCCCGGUUUUCGUCUGUUUGAUGUCGAGUCGCAAAAGUUGAAAGUGCUCGUAAGUCAUCACUUUCGGCGGGCUGGAAUAUCCGAGAAUACAAGACGCGCAAUCGGCAUAUCAUUUGAAUAUCAUCACGAAAAUAUUGCCUGCUCAGAUAUACACGCCCUUGCGUCGAUAUUUGAAAGUUUUCUUCAUGGCUAAACGAAACGAUUUCAUCAUGGGGAAAAUGUUUAUCGCCCAACGUGUCUUUGGAAAAGUCAUCAAUGUGAAGAAGCCACAAAGCCAUUGCAGCCUUUUUGUAGGUCUUCUUAUUUCGUGGCUCAGCAGUAACAUUUGAAAACCGGAAGAAAAGAAGAAGAAAGAAAAAAGAGCACACCAAAAGCUUAUUAACAGAUGUCGAUUAAUAAGAAAAGAAGAAAAAAAGGACUCACGCGCCAGCAUUAAGGAUCCAGUAGGUGGGAUCAUCCGAUAGCCAAGGAUUAGACGGCUGGGGCGUCUGAAGAAACGGAUCGUAUUCGCUGUAGGUGGCGCAGUGUUGUUGCAGCGUCUCGGCCGCCACAGACACCUUGAUCCGCGCUCUAACCAGCUGGCCCCUCACAAACUCCACCUGAAACCACAGGAGACGGUCACAGCAAAUUCACCAUUGUUGUUUACGGGGCUGACGAACCGAACGACCUGUCACCACCCACACGAAACCGUUGAAGAAAGAGAGGACGAGCCAAAGAGAAGAGAAUUCUGGAGACUACUAGAGAGAGUAGUAUUGAUUUUUCGUGCCCUGCUGCUGCUGCUGUAUGUGUCGGAGAAAAUAGAUGGAAGACCGGCGAAAUAGUACGACGCUAUAGAAAAAAAGAAAGAUGUCCUCUUCUUCUACCUUUGCAAAAAAGGAAAGGGGGCCUCGUUAAGCUAAUUUAAGCAAGGGAUUUUUACAAGAUGAGGCCAAAGCCGUCGCCGUCGUUUCAGUCCAACCCAUGUUUCCAGCGGUAUCAUCAGCGCAGCGGGUUGGCAUGGUGACCGUGCACCGAAUAUAUCCUAUAUAUAUAUUCUCAGGGGCAUGAUUACAUCCAGCAGCAGCAGCAGCAGCCAUCAUCUUCCCUCUCGCUCUCCCUUUCGCUUGUCAUUACAUAACUUGAUACAACAUUCGCCCAGGCUCCCCGCACAAAAAGAGUUUUGAUCUCUUCGAUGUUCUUCCACUUUCGGAUAAAAUUGGACGAUGCGGUUGUGCAAGAAGCUCCGGCCGAGUCGUCACGCUGAUUCGAAGAUGGCGCCAAUGAAAUCCACGACGAGUUGGUGGGGAAAGGCGGCUGUUCCAGGCAAUUGAGGAAACUGGGCGGCGGCCUGUACGCCCUCCAAUAGGCCCGCUCUUGGCUAUCCGUUACGAUCUUGUCGCCUUUCUUCCGGUCUUUGGCCAGCCUCACCUUGACGGAACAAAUGGAGAAAAUGUACAACAACCAACAACGGCGAGUGAGAGACCCCACAAGCUCUUUUACUUAUCUUUCCCUCCGCAACCAGUAACUUGGAACUUCCGGCCGGAUGGCAAUAAUCAAGGACGCACAGAUGUUGUCAAGUAAAAAGUCGCAACAACAGCCGUUGAAGAUUUUUUUUAAGAAAGUCCCGCUGUCCACGUGGUAAACCCGCCCAAAUAAAAAGAAUGUUUGAAAUAAGAAAAAAAAGGUGAUAUUAUUUCUGUACGCUCCUGCCCCGCUCCCGACUCCCGAAAGAAGAAAAAAGAUGGGCGAGGCGAGAUGGGAGUUAUUCUGGUCCCCCCACCCAUUCAUCGGCAAACCUUCGCAUCUAUAUACUCGCACGCCGGGGGGCGCUGGAUUGCAAAACGCCAUUCCGUUCCUUUUUAUUUGCUUUUUGCGUUUGGGAUGAAGGAAGAAAAAGUGACGCAAGCGCGUGCCUCCGCUAUCGACGAUUCAGGAACACCACAAACUACUUUUACUACUACAUGGUGGAGUCAGGAUGGAUCGAAUGGGAGGCCUGCCCCGUUCCCCCCUGGAAAUUUCCAUUAAUUUGAAAAUGAUUUUCUUGAUGGAUCUGCCGCUUCUGCUCAUACCAGUGGAUGUGCAUCUUACACAGAUCCCGGGAGCUGCUGCUGCUCUUUAAGAGAGUCGUGAGGUGGAGGAUGGGUGGGACUGACAAGAAGAAUGGACGAUUAAUAUUCACGAGAAUGAAUGCGCAACAUCCGCCUUCCCCCCACCACCCCACAUGACAUGGCGAGGAGGAGGACGGUCGGUCGGUCGGUCGGGAAAUCCCAGGAGGGACGGCCCAACUGUGCGGCAAAGCGGAGGCAAAGUCGUACGUUAUUUAUUAGGCAAAUGAAGGGCCGUCCGACGGUCCGGCAGCGGCAAUCAUACUCGCAGGUGAUGAGGAUCUCGGUCGACGACGACAACAGUGGUGGCAGACGACGGGAUCUGGCGGCCUGAUGGACGGCCUGGCUCCUGCGAGCUGGUGGCGGCGGCGGCGGCGGCGGCGACGGCCCAGCAUUUGGGCAUGUUGAUGUUUUUACACCUUCUUCAGAAAAAUGUGGAGUGGAAUGCUGGACGAGAUGACGUUGGAGAGUCCUCGACCACCACAACAACAACCGAAUCGACGACGCACUUUUCUUCUCCCACCAAAAAUAUUCGGUCCCGCUCAGAAUAAGCGACAAGUUAUUCGACACGACAAUCCUCAACAAUUGUCAAUUCUUUUGAUCGUUCGUUUCACUGGAAAAGGAGAACCCGAACAAAAACGUUUCCGAUCGGAAAUGGUCAACAGAGAGAGAGAGAGAAAAAAAAAGGAAAUUCUUAACGCAAUCGAAACCGGGCGGACACACACAAAAAAAGGACGACGACGAAUCGAAUCAAAGGGAGAGAAAUGAAAACGGAUCCGAGAGGUACGAAGAAGAGCUAAAUAUUCUUUUCGCACGGGAUUUCUUCUUUUGGGGUUGGCCUUGUCACAGCUCCGAAAAUAACAGAUGGACAAGGAUGAAUGUAAUCAGAGGAAAUGAAGGAAGAAGAUAAAAGAAGAUAAAAGAUGGCCGAAAAAAUCAAAGAA
This 3669-nucleotide long non-coding RNA is filed under the name Daphnia pulicaria. Its description in RNAcentral is "uncharacterized LOC124327404, transcript variant X4". Lineage: Eukaryota; Metazoa; Arthropoda; Branchiopoda; Diplostraca; Daphniidae. The record is from RNAcentral.